Molecule: small nuclear RNA, 148 nt
Filed under: Cebus imitator (Panamanian white-faced capuchin)
Lineage: Eukaryota; Metazoa; Chordata; Mammalia; Primates; Cebidae
Description: U1 spliceosomal RNA (ENSCCAG00000008780.1)
Rfam family: U1 spliceosomal RNA
About the family: U1 is a small nuclear RNA (snRNA) component of the spliceosome (involved in pre-mRNA splicing). Its 5' end forms complementary base pairs with the 5' splice junction, thus defining the 5' donor site of an intron.
Source: Rfam by way of RNAcentral
AUACUUACCUGGCAGAGGAGAUACCAUGAUCACGAAGGUGGCUUAUCCAUUGCACGCCGGAUGUGCUGACCCCUGCGAUUUCCCCAAAUGUGGGAAACUCCACUGCAUAAUUUGUGGUAGUGGGGGACUGUGUUCAUGCUUUCCCCUG